Molecule: ribosomal RNA, 497 nt
Filed under: uncultured bacterium
Lineage: Bacteria
Description: partial 16S ribosomal RNA
Rfam family: Bacterial small subunit ribosomal RNA
Source: RNAcentral
GAUGAACGCUGGCGGCGUGCCUAAUACAUGCAAGUCGAGCGAACAGACGAGGAGCUUGCUCCUCUGACGUUAGCGGCGGACGGGUGAGUAACACGUGGAUAACCUACCUAUAAGACUGGGAUAACUUCGGGAAACCGGAGCUAAUACCGGAUAAUAUAUUGAACCGCAUGGUUCAAUAGUGAAGGACGGUUUUGCUGUCACUUAUCGAUGGAUCCGCGCCGCAUUAGCUAGUUGGUAAGGUAACGGCUUACCAAGGCAACGAUGCGUAGCCGACCUGAGAGGGUGAUCGGCCACACUGGAACUGAGACACGGUCCAGACUCCUACGGGAGGCAGCAGUAGGGAAUCUUCCGCAAUGGGCGAAAGCUUGACGGAGCAACGCCGCGUGAGUGAUGAAGGUCUUCGGAUCGUAAAACUCUGUUAUUAGGGAAGAACAAAUGUGUAAGUAACUAUGCACGUCUUGACGGUACCUAAUCAGAAAGCCACGGCUAACUACGUG